UUACAGCAGAACGAGGGGAGAGGAGAGGAGAGGGGAGGAGAGGAGAGGGGAGGAGGGCGGCGGCCGGAUAGGCCGCCGAGUGACGGCUCCGCGGCGGCGUCGCGGUGGUGGGCUCGGCGUGCGGCUCUGCUCUGCGGCGGCCGUGGAGGGCGCGGGCUGCUCUGGGCCUCGCGGGAGGUGGAGCGGCGGCCCUGGGGGUGAGGUCGCCGGUGGGCCUCGCGUGGGGGGCUCGGAUCCAGAGCCUGGGUGGAUCUGGCCCUCCCUUCAGGCGUGGUGCUUCGCCGCGGGGAGGUGCCCCGGCGGCCAGCGGCGGAGUUGUUUUUGUGCAGCAGCAUGCUCGCUCCCCUUGGAGCUUGGCGAUGACCAUGAUGGUCGAGCGCUGGCUAAUCCCACAAUGCAACUGAUUAGCCACCCCCAGGUGGUUUUCCGUGUCCUGAACUGAUAUGCUGUUGUAUCCUGAUUUUCAAUGUCCAUGUUGGACCUCCUUGAUGAUUCACAGCCUUUGAGUCAUUUUUAACAGCUAUGUCUAACCAUUUCUGUCUGAGAUACUGUCAUGUGAGUUAAAAUACUCCACAGAUUGCUCACAUGUGCUUUUGCUACUUCGGAUUUUUUUCUGGGUGAAGUGAAAAGGGAAGGUCCAGUUAUGGGUUUGCAGGUUGUGCUGUGAACAGGGCAUCAAUGGACGACUCUGAGACAAGGGUUGAUGAUGUUCAUGAAUUGGGGUUCAAAAGAACAUUAUCAAUUGUUCAGGUUUUUCAUAUAUGAGCAGCUCCUUGAUCGAUUAUUUCUAUUAGAUGAUAAUGAUGUCAUUUCAGUUGCGUUAGAUGAUAAUGAUCUCAUGUUUAUGUCAUUUCAGUUGCGUUAGAUGAUAAUGAUGUUUGCUGCAUCGCACCCUUUCAGCAAUAGCCGUUUCGAGGGAUCACAAACCUUACCAAACAGAGAGACAGAGAAUUGUAGAAGCUGCAGGCUUUGUGAGGUGGGCUGGGACGUGGUGUGUUGCUGGUGUUCGUGCUGUUUCUCGAGUAUUUGGUGAUAAACUUACAAAGCAGUAUGUUAGGUGAUCGAGAGAUCAAGGCUUGACUUUUGUUUUCUUCCUUAGUUCUCAACUACAACCUUGACUUGUAGGUUUUUGAUUAGAUAUUCUAGGCGGUCAUUACGUCAUCAUAACUCAACGGUAGCCUCUUUAUAGAUAUUUCUGAUUUACCGAUGCACAUGAACUUCUCAUCCAAGAUGUUGGUUGUUUUCGCAUGAAGAACAAAUAAUGGUCACCCAUUCUCCCUUAUAAGAGGAAGAUCAAGGCUAUUACAAUUGAUGAUUGAUCCUUUUAUCAAGUCAACCUUCUUCAUCACUGUCCUUCGCUGUUAUUUACAGGAGGAGGUAGUCAACAGCUGACUAGAAUUCCUCACCCAUGCUAGUGAUGGGCUGUGGGGUUUUGUAACUAACGAUGUUUUUACUGAAGAUUCUCCUUCACAUAGUGAUAUUUUCCUGUAGUUCUCAAUGGGUUGUCCCGGAUUUUCUAUUUCCAGGAAGCUGUUGCCAUGGUCAAGCCAAUAGAGGAUCCUGAGCAAGCGACGAAGGGACUAGUUCAAGAAGCUUCCCAAAGAGCAAGCGCUGACACAUGACCGUUGUCAUUUGUUCCCAAAGGAUGGAACAACGUCGAGCGGUGAUGUAACGAGUGAGGAGGUUUGCUAAUGAACCAAUCUUGAUAGUAGUUCUUGUUCGUCCGUGGCGCUGUAUCUGCUGUUGUAUCUGAUGUUAUGUGGCGGCAGCACCCUCCCGUGCUGCGAAACCAAACUGACUUGGCCUGAGUUUCGCCUUGGUUCCAUCGUGAUGUCGGAGCAGAGGGAUGGUGGGGCCAGUGUUGUUACCAUAUGAUCCAAGGGGUACUUUUCUUCUUGCUGAACCUUGCACUUCGCAGCUUCUAUGCAGGUGCUUCAUGCUAGUGAUUUUUAGCACCAGUAAUGUAAAUGCAUGUGACUCUACUGCUUGAAUGAUUUUAACAAAGUUGUUCCGCUCGUGAUGCCA
This is a non-coding RNA of Aegilops tauschii subsp. strangulata, 2025 nucleotides long. The record is from RefSeq and is a predicted model, not a curated record. Lineage: Eukaryota; Viridiplantae; Streptophyta; Magnoliopsida; Poales; Poaceae.